RNAcentral lists this ribosomal RNA (499 nucleotides) under uncultured bacterium. RNAcentral describes it as "partial 16S ribosomal RNA". It matches the Rfam family "Bacterial small subunit ribosomal RNA", at positions 28 to 507 of the family's 1533-position model. The record is from RNAcentral.
GACGAACGCUGGCGGCGUGCUUAACACAUGCAAGUCGAACGGGCCCGCCCUCUUUUUUGGGGGUGGGUUGAGUGGCGAACGGGUGAGUAUCACGUGAGUAACCUGCCCCCUGCUCCUGGAUAACUGCUUGAAAGGGCGGCUAAUACGGGGUGUGCCGGCUGGUCCGCAUGGGCCUGGUCGGGAUAGUUUCAUCUUCGGGUGUUUCGGUGGGGGAUGGGCUCGCGGCCUAUCAGCUUGUUGGUGGGGUGAUGGCCCACCAAGGCGGUGACGGGUAGCCGGCGUGAGAGGGUGGGCGGCCGAGCGGGGACUGGGACACGGCCCAGCCUCCUGCGGGAGGCAGCAGUGGGGGGUAUUGCACGAUGGGCGGAAGCCUGAUGCAGCGACGGCGCGUGAGGGAUGGGGGCCGUCGGGUUGUGAGCCUCUUUCUCCGGUGGUGAAGGCCCUGUCCGUUGCGGCGGGGUUGACGGUAGCCGGGGAUGAAGCGCCGGCUAACUACGUG